RNAcentral lists this long non-coding RNA (444 nucleotides) under Phoenix dactylifera (date palm). RNAcentral's name for it is "long non-coding RNA (PDAC_LNC005961)". Lineage: Eukaryota; Viridiplantae; Streptophyta; Magnoliopsida; Arecales; Arecaceae. The record is from RNAcentral.
GGCCGGGUGGCUUUGCCUCCCUUUUCAUCAAAAAAAAUAUAAGAAAUAACUAAGUAGAAUAAAACUAGGAAUAGAAUUCUAGCAUAAGUAGGAUAAGUAAUGAUUCUCGACGCUCCCCCUCAUUGCGAAGUCCAUACUGACAAUGUUGAACUUGUCAAUGUCGAAGUCCAUGCUGAUAAUAUUGAACUUGUCGAUGUUGUGAAAUGCCACAACAACCAUUGCCAAUAUUGCCACAGUAACAACAAUAUGUAAUAUGGCUCGAACAGUAACUCCUUUGCUGGCUUGUCCUCUUCGAUGCAUAUGUCAAAAUCAACGAUGUCCUCUAACACUUCUCUUCAGAAUUGACUCUAUGGCCACAAUGUCGAUAUUCUAGGCAUCUAGCUUAUUUGAAUGAAUAUCAAGUUUCCAAUUAUAAUCACUGCUUACUAAAGCACUAGUCGUUAC